RNAcentral lists this ribosomal RNA (481 nucleotides) under uncultured bacterium. RNAcentral describes it as "partial 16S ribosomal RNA". It matches the Rfam family "Bacterial small subunit ribosomal RNA", at positions 28 to 507 of the family's 1533-position model. The record is from RNAcentral.
GAUGAACGCUGGCGGCGUGCUUAACACAUGCAAGUCGAACGAAGCACUUUAUUUGAUUUCCUUCGGGACUGAUUAUUUUGUGACUGAGUGGCGGACGGGUGAGUAACGCGUGGGUAACCUGCCUUGUACAGGGGGAUAACAGUUGGAAACGGCUGCUAAUACCGCAUAAGCGCCCGGCAUCGCAUGAUGCAGUGUGAAAAACUCCGGUGGUAUAAGAUGGACCCGCGUUGGAUUAGCUAGUUGGUGAGGUAACGGCCCACCAAGGCGACGAUCCAUAGCCGACCUGAGAGGGUGACCGGACACAUUGGGACUGAGACACGGCCCGAACUACUACGGGAGGCAGCAGUGGGUAAUAUAGCACAAUGGGCGAAAGCCUGAUGCAGCGACGACGCGUGAGCGAAGAAGUAUUUCGGUAUGUAAAGCACUAUCAGCAGGGAAGAUAAUGACGGUACCUGACGAAGAAGCACCGGCUAAAUACGUG